GGCCCUUUGGCCAAGUGGUAAGGUGUUCUCCUCCGGUAAUCGGGCACAGAGAAAGAUCGCUGGUUCAAUCCCAGCAUGGGUCG
RNAcentral lists this transfer RNA (83 nucleotides) under Phakopsora pachyrhizi. Its description in RNAcentral is "tRNA-Arg". It matches the Rfam family "tRNA". From Rfam's summary of the family: Transfer RNA (tRNA) molecules are approximately 80 nucleotides in length. The record is from RNAcentral. Lineage: Eukaryota; Fungi; Basidiomycota; Pucciniomycetes; Pucciniales; Phakopsoraceae.